UUCGCAAUGCCCGAAAGGGUGACGAAGCGACGCCGCGUGGGUGAGGAAGGUCCUCGGGUUGUAAAACCCUGUCAGGAGUUAAGAAAUGUAAGUGCGCUAAUAUCGCAUUUAUUUGACGAAGGCUCCAAAGGAAGCCACGGCUAACUCUGUGCCAGCAGCCGCGGUAAUACAGAGGUGGCAAGCGUUGUUCGGAAUUAUUGGGCGUAAAGAGCACGUAGGUGGAUUUGUAAGUCAGAUGUGAAAGCCUUCUGUUCAACGGAAGAAUUGCAUCUGAAACUGCGAGUCUUGAGUGCAGGAGGGGAGAAUGGAACUUCUGGUGGGGCGGUGAAAUGCGUAGAUAUCAGAAGGAACGCCGGCGGCGAAAGCGAUUCUCUGGCCUAUUACUGACACUGAGUGUGCGAAAGCUAGGGGAGCAAACGGGAUUAGAUACCCCGGUAGUCCUAGCCGUAAACGAUGGGCACUAAGUAGAGGGGUUUU
This 477-nucleotide ribosomal RNA is filed under the name Candidatus Scalindua brodae. Its description in RNAcentral is "bacterial SSU rRNA". It matches the Rfam family "Bacterial small subunit ribosomal RNA", at positions 365 to 832 of the family's 1533-position model. RNAcentral also lists the same sequence under 1 other name. The record is from RNAcentral. Lineage: Bacteria; Pseudomonadati; Planctomycetota; Candidatus Brocadiia; Candidatus Brocadiales; Candidatus Scalinduaceae.